UAUCACCAAGGAUUGUUUUUCCCACAAAAUUUUUCCUGUGGGAUACGGAAAGGACUCAAAAUCAACCCCCUCUGGUUGAUUGCGAUUCAAAACUAUAAAGGACAAG
Molecule: non-coding RNA, 106 nt
Organism: Vibrio vulnificus YJ016
Lineage: Bacteria; Pseudomonadati; Pseudomonadota; Gammaproteobacteria; Vibrionales; Vibrionaceae
Source: Rfam